RNAcentral lists this microRNA (23 nucleotides) under Ovis aries (sheep). RNAcentral describes it as "miRNA 45-f". The record is from RNAcentral. Lineage: Eukaryota; Metazoa; Chordata; Mammalia; Artiodactyla; Bovidae.
UUACCUCCCAAAUGUCCCCCAGA